GGCGUGAAUCAUGUUUUUGUACCCUUGUGGGUGAUUUAGUAGCCUCAUUUGAUGCACUCGAAACCACAUCAGGUAUCUUUUCAGGCAUCAUAAAGUUUUCAGCUUCAGGUGCCUUUAGGGGCAUUUUAGUCACAUCGUUCAUGUUAAAGGUUUCAGCUUCAGCUGCCUUUAGGGGCAUCUUAGUCACAUCGGGCAUGGUAAAGGUUUCAGCUUCAGGUUCCUUUAGGGGCAUUUUAGUCACAACAGGCAUGGUAUAGGUUUCAGCUUCAGGUGCCUUUAUGGGCAUUUUGGUCACAUGGGGUAUCUUUUCAGGCAUGGUGAAGGUUACAGCUUCAGGUGUCUUUAUGGGCAUUUUGGUCACAUCGGGUCUUUUUUCAGGGAUGGUGAAGGUUUCAGAUGCAGAGGCCUUUAUGGGUAUUUUAGUCAGAUCAGGUCUUUUUUCAGGAAUGGUGAAGGUUUCAGCUUCAGGUACCUUUAUGGGUAUUUUAGUCACAUCAGGUCUUUUUCCGGGCAUGGUGAAUGUUUUGGGUUCAGGUUCAGGUGUUGGGUUCAUUAUUGGGGCAGGUGUAUCUGUGUUGGUUAAUACCCGGGCAGAUGGAUCGGGCAGUUGUGAUUCAUCAGUGUUCAACUUCUCUCUCUUUUCA
This 644-nucleotide long non-coding RNA is filed under the name Lactuca sativa (garden lettuce). RNAcentral's name for it is "long non-coding RNA (LSAT_LNC007064)". Lineage: Eukaryota; Viridiplantae; Streptophyta; Magnoliopsida; Asterales; Asteraceae. The record is from RNAcentral.